Molecule: ribosomal RNA, 498 nt
Filed under: uncultured Bacteroidales bacterium
Lineage: Bacteria; Pseudomonadati; Bacteroidota; Bacteroidia; Bacteroidales
Description: bacterial SSU rRNA
Rfam family: Bacterial small subunit ribosomal RNA
Source: RNAcentral
UAUAGGCUUAACACAUGCAAGUCGCAGGGUAACAUGAGGAAAGCUUGCUUUCCUUGAUGACGACUGGCGCACGGGUGAGUAACGCGUAUCCAACCUUCCCAUAACUACGGGAUAACCCGUUGAAAGACGGCCUAAUACCGUAUGAUAUCGUUUGCUGACAUCAAAUAACGAUUAAAGGUUUAGCGGUUAUGGAUGGGGAUGCGUCUGAUUAGCUUGUUGGCGGGGUAACGGCCCACCAAGUCGACGAUCAGUAGGGGUUCUGAGAGGAAGGUCCCCCACAUUGGAACUGAGACACGGUCCAAACUCCUACGGGAGGCAGCAGUGAGGAAUAUUGGUCAAUGGGCGAGAGCCUGAACCAGCCAAGUAGCGUGCAGGAUGACGGCCCUAUGGGUUGUAAACUGCUUUUAUGUGGGGAUAAAGUGCGUGACGUGUCAUGCAUUGCAGGUACCACAUGAAUAAGGACCGGCUAAUUCCGUGCCAGCCGCCGCGGUAAAAGGG